Molecule: long non-coding RNA, 467 nt
Organism: Brienomyrus brachyistius
Lineage: Eukaryota; Metazoa; Chordata; Actinopteri; Osteoglossiformes; Mormyridae
Exons: 2
Source: RefSeq, a predicted model, not a curated record
UGCUGACUGGUAUGACUGAGACAUUCGCAUUGAAGUUAUUCAGAGAUUCUCAGCACUACGAGCGGUACAACUGCACCGAUCACUCGUACUGGGUACCCUCCCACCCAACCAUGGCCUGCUCCAGCUCGGCGCAAAGCAGAAACGAAAGAGAAACAGCAAGGAUGGUUCCGCUCCGACAGGGACCGCACCCCGCCACGGGCUGCGACGAGCCUGCAUGUGCGAGCUCGCCUGAGCCGCGCUGGAGGAAGAAGCCGCAGGAGAUGCGGGACUAAUCAACACCGAGAGCUCGCAGCUUCGCUGUUUAGGGGCCACCGUGCAGCUCAGCCUGUGCCGGGGGGGGGGAGCGACGGCCCCGGAAGGAGGACCGGCAUCUCUCUGAGUGACGACGGGGGAACGCGAUGAGGUGGGAGCAGAAUGGAAGAAGAGCGGAAGGAAAAACAGGAGGGAGUCAGAGAGAGAGAGAGAGA